This 652-nucleotide long non-coding RNA is filed under the name Cricetulus griseus (Chinese hamster). RNAcentral describes it as "lncRNA (ENSCGRG00015035686.1)". Lineage: Eukaryota; Metazoa; Chordata; Mammalia; Rodentia; Cricetidae. The record is from RNAcentral.
UACAAAAACAAACAUUAAAAAAUGAGCGUAUGCUACCAUUGUGCCCACAUUGGCCAUCACAGGUGACUGGAAUUCACACAACUGGACACACACUGCAUGCCAAUUAGAACCUAACCCAAUUGUCAUCAGAGAGGACCCACCCAGCAACUGAUGGGACCAGAUGCAGAGACCACAAACAUUAGGCAGAGCUUGGGGAAUCCUGAACAGGGGGAGGAAAGAUUGUAAGAGCCAGAGAGGUCAAGGAUACUACAAGAACACAUCCCACAGAAUCAAUUAAACAGGGCUCAUGGGUGCUCACAGAGACUGAAGUGACAAUCAAGAAGCCUGUAUGUGUCUGAGAUGGCCUUCAUUCUCCAGCCAUGCCGAGGAGAGGCAGCAGGAUCAGCCCAUUCAGCCUGAGGUAGCCCUGGCUGGAGAAGGAGAAGAUUGCUUCUAGAGGGGGAGGCAAAGCUUUCCUGAAUUCCUCAGGUGCAUUCCUCUGUUGUGAAGACAAGGGAGUUCCAUUCAAACAUCUGAUCCUGCUAAAGAACAGAGACCAACCAAAGAGUUCUAGUCCUCCAAAGGCUGGCUGAAACUGGGUUAACAACCACCCAACUGGCUUGCCUUUCCAAACCUUGUAGUGGUUUGCCAUCAGAAUUCCUUUCUGCCCGGG